CCCUUAGAUGUUCUGGGCUGCACGCGCGCUACACUGAAGCGUUCAACGAGUAUUCACCUUGCCCGGGAGGGUUGGGUAAUCUUUUGAAAACGCUUCGUGAUGGGGAUAGAUUAUUGCAAUUAUUAAUCUUCAACGAGGAAUUCCUAGUAAGCGCGAGUCAUCAGCUCGUGCUGAUUACGUCCCUGCCCUUUGUACACACCGCCCGUCGCUCCUACCGAUUGAAUGGUCCGGUGAAAUCUUCGGAUCUGAGAGAUGUCUGAUUAAUUUCGGACGCCUUUUGGAAAAGUUGUUUAAACCUUACCAUUUAGAGGAAGGUGAAGUCGUANCA
RNAcentral lists this ribosomal RNA (328 nucleotides) under uncultured eukaryote. RNAcentral's name for it is "partial 18S ribosomal RNA". It matches the Rfam family "Eukaryotic small subunit ribosomal RNA", at positions 1470 to 1796 of the family's 1831-position model. The record is from RNAcentral.